GAUGAACGCUGGCGGCGUGCCUAAUACAUGCAAGUCGAGCGAACAGACGAGGAGCUUGCUCCUCUGACGUUAGCGGCGGACGGGUGAGUAACACGUGGAUAACCUACCUAUAAGACUGGGAUAACUUCGGGAAACCGGAGCUAAUACCGGAUAAUAUAUUGAACCGCAUGGUUCAAUAGUGAAAGACGGUUUUGCUGUCACUUAUAGAUGGAUCCGCGCCGCAUUAGCUAGUUGGUAAGGUAACGGCUUACCAAGGCAACGAUGCGUAGCCGACCUGAGAGGGUGAUCGGCCACACUGGAACUGAGACACGGUCCAGACUCCUACGGGAGGCAGCAGUAGGGAAUCUUCCGCAAUGGGCGAAAGCCUGACGGAGCAACGCCGCGUGAGUGAUGAAGGUCUUCGGAUCGUAAAACUCUGUUAUUAGGGAAGAACAAAUGUGUAAGUAACUAUGCACGUCUUGACGGUACCUAAUCAAAAAGCCACGGCUAACU
RNAcentral lists this ribosomal RNA (492 nucleotides) under uncultured bacterium. RNAcentral's name for it is "partial 16S ribosomal RNA". It matches the Rfam family "Bacterial small subunit ribosomal RNA", at positions 28 to 502 of the family's 1533-position model. The record is from RNAcentral.